GGGGUUGUGGCUUAGUGGUAGAGUGCUCGCCUCCCAAGUGUGAAGCACUGGGUUUGAUCCUCAGCACCA
RNAcentral lists this transfer RNA (69 nucleotides) under Ictidomys tridecemlineatus (thirteen-lined ground squirrel). RNAcentral describes it as "Spermophilus tridecemlineatus (thirteen-lined ground squirrel) tRNA". It matches the Rfam family "tRNA". From Rfam's summary of the family: Transfer RNA (tRNA) molecules are approximately 80 nucleotides in length. The record is from Rfam by way of RNAcentral. Lineage: Eukaryota; Metazoa; Chordata; Mammalia; Rodentia; Sciuridae.